UUUGAAGAUGUUGAUAUGAUCCUCUUUUGUGUUUCUUUGACUGACUACGAUGAAUAUUUUGAAGAUAGCAAAGGAUUUCUCACCAACAAGAUGUUGGCAAGCAGGCAGCUCUUCCAAAACAUUGUCAUUCAUCCAACCUUCAAUCAAAAGAACUUCCUUCUGAUACUCAACAAGUAUGAUAUGUUAGAGGAAAAGAUUGAAGAAGUUCCUCUCUCUCGAUGUGAAUGGUUUGAAGACUUCAAUCCGGUGAUCAGCCAUAAUCACCAUAGCACUAGUAGAAGAACUAGCAACACACCACUGGCUGUAUCUGCCGCCCACUACAUUGCAGUGAAGUUCAAGAGGUUGUUCGAUUCUCUAACUGGUCGUAAGUUGUUUGUUUCAGUAGUUACUGCCUUGGAGCCUGAGACUGUAGAUGAAGCUCUCAAUUAUGCAAAGGAGAUUCUGAAGUGGGAGGAAGAGGAACCUGUCUACACUAACAUUGAGUCAACUGAUUACGAGGCAAGCUCAUCAUCAUGAAUUUUCUUCUCGGGUUGAAUUUUGCUCAUCCAUCCUCAGUUAUACAAAACAUUGGAAAGGAUUUUUUUUUUUUUCCAAAGAUAGAAGAACAUCAGAAGAAAAUACAUUGGGUCAAGCACAUGCUUGUGUAUACUAAUCCAGAUUUGCAUAGAAGUUAGGGAGAUUAAGAUUCUUUCCUAGAGCUGUAAAGAACUGUCGUUUUGCCAUUUCAAUUAAGAUUUAGUAAAUAAAAGAAGAAUAAUUACUUUGCACAAUGAGACACAUAGCUGACAAGCUUGCAUAAAUACAAACGGACAUGGAAUUCAUUUUCGUUGCCUGAAUUUAACUGACGGAUUACAUAUCUUGUCUACAAACAAACAUGAAAAAAAAAGACCAUUUUAACUACAUAAGGCUUCACAGAAAGAUUGAAUACACAUCAACAAGGCACAAACCGGUCCAUAAGCAAACAGAUAGUAGUCUCUGAUAUUGUACUUUCAUCUUCAACCUCUUUGGUGCUCUCCUUUUUAUCUUCUUUCCCACGUACUUGUUCUUUCUUAGCUCUUAACACAAACGGCUUCCUGCCUUUAACCUUCUCUCCCAGCUUCGCAAGCUCACCCAUGCAUAUCUCCACAACUGCCGACAUUUUCACUGCGAUAACCAAGAACCCACUUGGAAUUUUCAGCUGGCUCUUUCUUUCUUGUUGAUCUUUCUUUAUUGAAUAUGAAACGAGAAGCAACGUGGGGUUUAUAAAGAAGAGAAGGCGAGCAAAAGUCCACGUAGAAUUUGGCGGGUUCUGGAGAACCGCUGGUUUUGACUGUUGGGGAGAAAAAUCAAUGUGUGGAUGCCCACAGAGAUGCCGUUUUGAGAACCUUCUGUUCCAUUUAUCUUUCUUUGGAUUGGAUAUUCCCGCGUUUGCAAGAAAAUAUCCUUUUGCGUGACAGUUCUAAUGUGUGACUACUCACACAUUAAUUAUCAAUGCUCAAUUUCAAAACUAACCUCUAGUUCUUAACUUGGAGUAUUUGAUCAAACGGUGAGCUACUAAUAUCUUACAUUGUUUUAUUAAUUUAGAGUUACAUCUUAAAACAUUUUAUUAGCACAGACUGACAGACACGUAACAAUUUUAUAUUACUAUAUAAAAUCUAAUAAAAUUAGACUCAUUAAUAUAAUAUUUGAUUAUAUAAUAAAAGAGUCUAUAAAAAUUUAUUCUGAUCAAAUAAAUAAAUAAUAAUUAGAGUGAUUUAUCCCGUGAUAUGGUUUUAAACCGCACCAAUUUUUUUUUUAAAAACUUAAAAAGAUCUUUUUAGGGUAGAGUUGUAUAGCAAGAUGCUAAUUUUAUUUUUAAAUUUAUAUUUUAUCAAUUAAAUUAGAGGUUUUUAGGAAAUAAAAUUUAAAAAGGGUAUUGUAAGGAUUUUAGAGGGGUGUUAGAAGCCCCACUCUUUUGUACUAGUGCUACGGACAUAUGGUUACAAUUGAUAUUGGCCUAUGGGUAAAGCCCUGUAUUUUAUGUUAUCCACUAUAAUUCUAGGUGAACUUAUUGAGGCUAAUCUUGAAUUAGGGGUGGACAAAUACUUCAAUCCAAUUGAAUCUGAAUCGCAAUGCAGCGAUGCACAUACAAGCACAAAGUUUUGAUCCAAUCCAAUUUAUAUUCGGAUUUAAUCGGAUUGUAUUAUAAGUUUGGGUUGAGUUCAGAUUACUUUUUUUUUUCCAAUUUGUUUAAUCCAAAAUCCGAUCGCGUUAAUUCGAACCUGAAUUUUCCUACCCCUACAACUAUCAUUAGAGGAUAUAAUUAAAAAGAAAUGAGUUAUACGAUUAUUUGCAAUAAUUCAUGUCUAAAGCUAUGAAGCAAAUACCCAAACAUCAUCAGCAAAUAAUUAAUGUCUUAUUUAUAAGUUUGAAAACGAAAUAACCCCAUCGAUAGCGCUUCCACAUUGUAAAUCGCACUUAUUCCAUUACAAACAAACAAUUAAGUACCAUACCAUAACCUAAAUUUCUAUCUUAAAAAUGGUUCCUUAUCUAAAUAUAAUAAUUAGUCAUUGAAAAAUCCAUAAAAUUUAAUAUACAAUCACCGACCUUAUGAUUGAUGUAAAAUGCAUUUUUUUUUCAAUUUUAUUUUGUCAUACACCCACCACUUGUUUUCUAUAUUAACAUAAAUUCCAAUUUUUUCAUUUAUUAAUAUUUUAAUGCGAUCACAAUACUCGUUCCAAGAUGUAUUAUAUAGGAUUAAUAUUAUGACAUAGUCUCAAGUCUGACCUAUCUCAACUUAGGUAGUUGAACGUACUUGACCAAAUUACCCUUUCUUAGCGCCAAAAUUCAGUUAGGUACAAUCAAUCGCAGCAGCAAGUACUUUGAAAUUUUGAAACGAAGCACACAUGUUUCGUUCUGGCGUGACUGAUCAGUUCCUCGCAGCUUCCUCUUCAACCUCAAAGCGUUGACGAAGGAAAAAUGAAAAGAGUCUUCACUGGUGAGAGCACAACUCUACAGGAAAGAAUUCACAUUUUCUUUGUUCUUUAUUAUUUCUUUCAACUGUCACUUUGCCUUCAUGAUUUUCAUUUUCUUCAUUCUCUUCGUGGCAGCCUCCCUUUUCUCCAAUUCCUAAUAAACGCCAAAAAUGCUUCGUUUAGUUCUCUUAUUGAUUGAUUUUGCUUUCUGGGUUUGUGAGAUAUGUUGAUUUUGCUUCAUGGGUUGUUUUUUCAAUUAGUUAUAUUUUGUGGGUUUUUGAAAUAUUUGGUCAUGCUUCAUCUGUGUAUUUGAUGAUCAUUUCGUUUUGCUUCAUGCUUCUUAAAUCAUUGAAAUGAUUGAUUAAGUUUCUUGUAUGCUUUGAUGGAUUGUUGAAGUAAUUGAUUUUGCUCCGUGGGUAUGUUGAACUAUUGGCUUUUAUUUAUUGGGGGUUUUUUAAUUAGUGUUUUAAUUGGUUUAUUGGUUUAUUGAAAUAGGGUUACUGGUUUUGAGUUGAUUUUGAGUAGGGUUUACAAAAUGGCUCAGCUUUUGAGGAAAAUUCUGCCUGUUGUGCCAUUGAGAUCAAAACCUUAUGAUGAUGAUGAGGAUGAUAAAAAUAACACUGAAUAUUCAUUUGCCGUUGAGUAUUCUGGCCCUCUGAUCAGUUCUGAUAUUCCCCUGGCAUCGCCAAUAGUUGUUGACCAAAUCCCCAUUGCUGUUACGGUUGCCUCUCCUUCCUUGUUAAGAGAUAGGUCGUUGCCAGUAAUCCAACCAACUGUAAAAAGUACUCCAGGAGGCAGAAGACGGUUGAAGGAGCCUGAAUUAAGUUCUGAACCUACAUUACGUAGUAAUUCAUUGACCAAUUCCGGAGCGUCCUUGACUGGUCCUAAUGUGUCCUGUGAAUCACAAAGUUUGGUAGAUAGCUCAGGUGAUGUUGGAUGUGCAACUGGUGAUUACUCCCAGCCCAAGUCAGUUAAUGGAGUUAGAAGUUCCAGUAAAUUCAGAAGUCCUGAUGCUCAAGAUAAUUCAUCUGACGUAAUAAGAAGUUCUGCUAAACUGAAUAGUCUUGAUCGUCAUGAUAAUUUGUGUGUAAUUCUAAAAUUAUCUGAUGGUAGUGAAGAAGGUGCAGAUGCAGGCCUGCAAAAUGGUAUAAAUCCUGCCAAUUUGGAUUUAACAGAUUCUGGUUUAAGUUCACAUGAACAUACAUCAAAGUUUUUUUCUUGCAAUGAGGGAUAUUUUGGUGAUGAAGAAACUCCUUCCAAUGUUAGAGGAUCAUCAGUUGUUAUUUCUGAUGAUCCUGAGACAAGUGAUAUAGUCCAUGAAGAAUCUGAUAACUCUGAAAGCGUCCAUCUGAGAGCAAAGGCUGAAAGAUAUGGGAAGAAAAGUUCAUGCUGUCAAUGCUUGCAGGAAUAUCAAUCUCUUGAAAUGGAGGUUUGCAUAGUUUGUGAUACAAUGUAUUGUUGUAACUGUGUGGUGAGAGCAAUGGGGUCAACACCUGAAGGAAGAAAAUGUGUUUCCUGUGUUGAUUCCAGGUUAGAUGUGUGCAUGCCCAUGUCAUCUAAUGGAAUAGGAAGUUCUGGUAAAUCAAAUAGCCUCAACUGUUACGAUAAUAUGCCUGCAAACAAUGAAUUGCCCGAUAAUAGGAACGAUGGCGCUAAUGCAGGAUUUCAUGAUUAUAUGAAUCCUGCUGACUCAGAGUCAACGGAGUCAGAUGUAAGUUCAUACAGUGUUUCAUCUGAGGUGUUUUCUUGCAAAGAGGAGGGUUUUAAUAACGAAGAAACUCCUGGCCAUGUUAGAAGACCAUCAGUCGUUAGUUUCCGUGACCCUGACCCAAGUGAUACAGUUUAUGAAGAAUCUGAUUAUUCUGAGGUUGAAAGCAUCCAUGAGAGGCCAAAGGCUGUAAGGCCAGGGAAGAAAGGUUCGUGCUAUCGAUGCUUGAAAGGAAAUCGGUUCACUGAGAAGGAUUUCUGUAUUGUUUGUGGUGCAAAAUAUUGUUCAAACUGUGUGCUGAGGGCAAUGGGAUCAAUGCCAGAAGGAAGAAAAUGUGUUACUUGCAUUGGUUUCAGCGUGGAUGAUUCUAAGAGACGAAACCUGGGGAAGUGUUCUCAGAUGCUCAAAAGAUUGCUGACUGAGACGGAAGUUAAACAAAUAAUGAGAUCUGAAAUAUUGUGCAAAGCAAAUCAGUUGCCACCAGAGCGUGUUUUUGUGAAUGGUGAACAUUUAUCUCAGAAAGAGCUCGUUAUACUGCUUAGCUGCCCAAACCCUCCAAAAAAGCUAAAUCCAGGAACCUAUUGGUAUGAUAAAGUGUUGGGUUUUUGGGGAGAGGUAAACAUCAGAAACUGCUGCUAUUAUUUAAUAUUCUUUUCUUGUUUAUUCUAAUUCCAUUGCACCAUGAUAGAAUUAAUAUUUGAAUUCCAUUGCACCAUGAACAGGAAGGACACCGGCCUUGCCAGAUUAUAAGCCCCCAGCUGAAUGUCGGGGGUCAGAUAAUGAAAAAUGCUAGCAACGGAAAUACAAAUGUCAUGAUCAAUAAUCGGGAGAUUACUAGAAGAGAGCUCUGGAUGCUUAAGGUCAUUUCAGUGGGCAAAUUUAUGUUCAUUUGAAAUUCAGUGUUUCUAAAAAUAAGAUCCAUACUGUUCUGUAUUUCUGUUAAAUGCUGCAGUUAGCAGGAGUGCAAUGUGAAGGACAACAUCACUUUUGGGUGAGCGCAGACGGUUCCUACCUGGAAGAGGGAAUGAGAGAUAUAAAGGGGCGUAUAUGGGACAAGGUAUGUCUGCAUAUGGAUGUGCAUUGGCUUUCUUAGUUAAACUAUUCCUUAAUUUCUGAUUUGUGAUUACCGUGUAUGUACUUUACAGAGUACAAUAAAACUAGUUUGUGCUUUGUUGUCUUUGCCAACCCCUCCUGAUUCUGAGAAUCCUUGUGGCAAUGAAGUGAAUGGCGUUAACCCGUGUGAGCAGCAAAGACUUAUUAAACUUUUUCUUCUUGGUGAACACAAAUCAGGCACGAGUACCAUAUAUAAACAGGUAGGAAUUAUUGGAACCUGUAAGAAACUUUGUCUAAUACACAUGCUAUUAUUAUUCAUAUAUUAUUAAUCUGACUGGUGAACAUUGGAUGGCUUAUAUUUAUCUUAUUAUGCAGCCAGCUUGUGUUGUCGUUUUGCUUCAUGUCUUGUCAUUUCUAGGACUUCAAGAUUUUAAAAGGAAAGAUGUUUUAGAGCAUGUUAGUUGAUUUUUAAAAUUUGUAUUCGAUGUAGUAUACUUAUUCACAAAGAUGUCAGAUUAUGUUAUUUGACAACUAGCUUAAGAUUUCAUUGUUUAACAACAUUCAUCGAAGGUACAAUAAAUUGUCUAAUUGCACUUUGGUACGAAGAGUGUUUUUUAUUGUGCAUAAAAAGCUACAUACAAGGUGGUCUCAUAUCAUCACACUGCCGUUGAUGCUUAAAAUAUAGUAGCGGAAAUCCUUUCUCCUUCUUGGUUACAUGCUGUUUUUUGUGACUUUAUGGGGACAUUAUGCCUUUCUAGAUCACGUUAAGUUUUUGUAUUUGUAAUAAAGCAAAGGCCAUAAGCCUUUGUUAAGGUCUUAAAACUGAAAUUUUGAUUCCAUGGUGAAUUGAACAUCAAGUUUUAUUCUUUGUUUCGGCUGUACUUAAAGACUUUUAUCAUUUUUUUAUUUUGUAUCCCUUUUGUACCUUUUUCUCUUUCUCCCUUUUUAGACAUUGGUGCAAAGGCACAUGAUGACAGAGAUGUUUGUUUCAGGCCAAACUUCUGUUCAAGGUUCCAUUCUCUGAAGAAGAGCGUCAAAAUAUUAAGUUCAUGAUCCAAAGUAAUCUGUACUUCUAUAUUGGUAUUUUGCUUGAGGGCCGUGAGCGAUUUGAAGAAGAAAGCUUGUUUGGGAAGGGAAAAAGACAGGUUAUUGACGAGCCAGGUCCUUCAGGUAACAUAGAGAUUAGAUUUACUUCUCUUUUCCAGUGCUUGUAUGAUUUGCUGUUUAUUGAAUGUUCCAUGAGAUCUUGUUUGGAGCAUGCAUAUGACGCAUAAAAAUGUUUGCCUUUGUUAUCUACUGUUUUGAGUUAUUUCUGGUAGAUAUUGAACAUAUGUAUAUCACUUUUUUCUGGGAAGUCUAGCUUGUCAAAAGUCAAGUUCUUUGUUAUUAUUUUACAUGCAUGGAGUGCAGUUUUACUUUCACUCGAUUUUUUGGACUUCUUAGUGCCUUUAGCGUUAAAAUUAUCAAUUGUGUUGGAUUGAAGUUCAUCACAUCAGCAAGUUGACCCUGAGGGUGGAAGGGACAACUAUGAUGUCCAGUAUUUUGUACAUUUAAUUAUUGAGCAUUUAAUAACUGUGGUCUCAUUGAAAUUUAAUGAUAUUUUUAUUCUGUACCUUCACUAUAAUCUUCUUGCAGACACAAUUCUGGCCUGUGGUUUUGAUUUCAGUAUCUGGUAGAACAUGAAAUUUGGAGAUAAAUCAUUGUCUGCAGCCAAUUAGAACUUUCUUGUGACUAACCUGUGCCAUCAGUAGUAAACCUCAAAUUUCUUUAAAAUGUUCUUUUAACAUGUUUAACUAUUUAAAAUCAUUGGAGUAAAGAGCAUAUUGAAAUAGCAUCACAUAGCUUGUGAACAUAUUUGAUUCUUCUUGGUGGUUGUAAAUUUCAUUUUUUUUUUAAGAAAAAUAAUCAUAUUUCUUUCUUUCCUUAUUUUUGAGGUUUUAUUUUUUUAUUUUUUUAUUUUUUCAGAGUAAAAAAUAUUCUGCAUGAAGAAAGUUACAUUUGUAAUUAGUUUAGCAAUUGGGAGGACUCUGAUUUUAUUCAGGUACAACACUAAUACAGGGCAGAUUGAUGAUAAAAUGAUGUAUUCCAUCGGUCCAAGACUGAAAGCUUUCUCUGGUUGGCUUCUCAAAGUCAUGGCAUCUGGUAAUUUGGAAGCCAUAUUCCCAGCCGCUACCCGUGAAUAUGCACCAUUUAUUGAGGAGUUGUGGAGGGAUGCAGGCUUCCAAGCCACAUACAACCGGAGAAAUGAAUUAGACAUGCUUCCCAGAAAAGCCACCUAUUUCCUAGAACGGGUUAGAUCACUCUCUAUUGUCCUUGUUUGCUGAGUAUUUCAUUAUUUGUAUUUGGUUCAGCUUCAGUAUAUAUCUUUUGUUUUUGGAUCCAUAGAGUCUUGAUUGUUUAUUUCAUUUGCCUCAUGAUUAUCCAGUGAUCUUGAAUUGCAUCCUCUAUUCCAUAGAUAUGUCAUAAUUGUCAAUGUACAUAUGACCUGUACUGUAAUUUAAAAAUUCCAAGUACAUAUUUAAUACUCUUGUAUUUUGGCUUCUUAUUAAUCAUGUGCUUUCUUAUCCCAUGUCAUUUCAGAAAGCACAUUUCAUAAAAGAUAUUUUUUGAAACCAAAAUGAAAGGCAUUCUGAAGUCACACCAUCAGUUCUCUUCUUGUAUUGUUUCUCGAAAGCUUGAACUAGGAAAGAUGAUUGUUUUGACUUGUAGUUCACUGUUUGCUAUUUUUUCAAUAUUAACAUUAGUUUCCCUCUCAGGCUGUUGAGAUUUCAAAGACAGGCUAUGAGCCCUCAGAUAUGGAUAUCUUGUAUGCUGAGGGAAUUACAUCAAGCAAUGGGCUUUCGUCCAUGGUAUUUUCAUUACCGGAGCAGACACAAGAAAACUCCAUAAGUGACUCUUCCAAUCAGAAUGAUCCCUUGCUCAGGUUACUGUCUAAUCUGUGCUUUAAAUUUACGUAUAAGCCAAAAAUGCAUUGCACUUUGCCAGAUUUUUGCUAUUGCUGUUGCUGUCAAUUGCCAUUGUGAGAUUUAGCUACCGAAGGAAAGGACUUCAUGGGUAGUCAUUCUGGCUUGCAGAUUGAAUUUCGGGUAGCUUAACUCAGUUUGAAUGGGGAUAUUGUCAUCAAUGAAUUGAGUCUGCAAUUCUGUUGGAACUGGAAGUUAUUAGCUAAGUUAGUGGCCCCACUUGGCUUGGCAAGACACAAAAAGAAUAAUCAGUUAAUUGCCUUUCAACUUCAAGAAUACUUUAAAUUUACCAGAAUUUCAUACUUGAGUUUUAGCUAUUGAUUUAUUUCUCUUCUUUGGCAUGAAAUGUUUUAGCAAUCAAAUAUGAAUAAUCUUUUACAGCUGCGAUGGAUCUUUGGCAUAAGUUUCUUGAAAGUGGGGAACGAUGUAUGAUUGAUUACAAAUUGUUCAUCUAACUUACCAAUUUUUGCUUUGCACUUGCAGCUAUCAACUCAUUAGAGUGCAUCCAAGAAGCCUCGGGGAGAACUGCAAGUGGCUAGAAAUGUUUGAAGAUGUUGAUAUGAUCCUCUUUUGUGUUUCUUUGACUGACUACGAUGAAUAUUUUGAAGAUAGCAAAGGAUUUCUCACCAACAAGAUGUUGGCUAGCAGGCAGCUCUUCCAAAACAUUGUCAUUCAUCCAACCUUCAAUCAAAAGAACUUCCUUCUGAUACUCAACAAGUAUGAUAUGUUAGGAGAAAAAAUCGAAGAAGUUCCUCUCUCUCGAUGUGAAUGGUUUGAAGACUUCAAUCCGGCGAUUGAAGUUUUUUACCACAGCACUGGU
Molecule: long non-coding RNA, 9477 nt
Filed under: Citrus x clementina
Lineage: Eukaryota; Viridiplantae; Streptophyta; Magnoliopsida; Sapindales; Rutaceae
Description: Citrus clementina (C. clementina) long non-coding RNA (CCLE_LNC000792)
Source: RNAcentral